This 676-nucleotide ribosomal RNA is filed under the name Amathia sp. AW-2011. RNAcentral describes it as "partial 16S ribosomal RNA". The stretch from base 235 to 473 matches the Rfam family "Archaeal large subunit ribosomal RNA", at positions 1787 to 2143 of the family's 2987-position model. Lineage: Eukaryota; Metazoa; Bryozoa; Gymnolaemata; Ctenostomatida; Vesiculariidae. The record is from RNAcentral.
AAAUAGUUUUCUUGGGACCAGCUAAGAAAACAAAACGCAAUGAAUAAAAAAACUUAAAAGAUAAAAUAAGCCUAAAAACAGCUAAAAUAAAGAAACCAGUAAAAAGGUAAACGUAAAACUAAAGAAUAAUUAUAUAAAAUUCAUACAAAAAUAGGGGGCUUUUAAGAACAACGCUAACACUUAAAUAAAAAUGAGUAGCAUAACUAAGAAUAAAUAGUAAAACAUACAAAAAAAGAAAAGAUUAAUAAGGGAACUCGGCAAAAAACAGAGCAAAGACUGUUUAACAAAAACAUAGCUUCUAGCAACAAUUAGAAGUACCAUCCUGCCCGGUGAAAGUAAUUUUAAACGGCCACAAUCGUGCUAAGGUAGCGUAAUCAGUUGUCCUUUUAUUGAGGACUAGUAUGAAAGGAAAAACGAGGCUCAACUGUCCCUAUUAAUGAAACAAAAAUUAAUCAUCAGGUGAAAAAGCCUGAAUAUAAUUAAAGGACGAGAAGACCCUAUAGAGUUUAAAUAUAAUAUAUUAUUUGUGAAACACAACCACACAGAUAAUAUAAAUAUUUUAAUUGGGGCAACACAGGAGCAAAAAAAUCUCCUAACAACAGACAUUUAAAAUAUUAAAAACNNNNNUCCUCGAAGAGAAAAAGAAAANNNACCUUAGGGNNNNNAGCGUAAUUUU